GACGAACGCUGGCGGCGUGCUUAACACAUGCAAGUCGAACGGAAAGGCCUGCUUUCCCUUGCGUAUUGCGGGUACUCGAGUGUCGAACGGGUGAGUAACACGUGAGUGAGCUUCCCCCAACUUGUGUAUAAGCCUGGGAAACUGGGUCUAAUUCCCUAUAGGACUGCAGUGUGGUUCCGGUGGUUUAAGACGAUUGUCUUGGGGUUGCGGAUUAGCUCGCGGCCUAUGAGCUUGUGGGUUGGGUAAUGGCCUACCAGUGCGGGGACGGGUAGCCGGCCUGGGAGAGCGGACGGGAACAUUGGGCCUGAGAUACGGGGACGAAUAUUCCGGGCGGACGCCGUGGGGAGUAUUGAAUAAGGGGCGGAAGACUGAUGGAGCGACGCUGAGUCGGGGACGACGGGCUUGGGGUUGUAACCUCCUUUCGGUCGAGAGGAAGCCACCGGGUUGGAAGGGUGGUGACGGUAGUGGUAGAAGAAGCACCGGCUAACUACGUG
This 494-nucleotide ribosomal RNA is filed under the name uncultured bacterium. Its description in RNAcentral is "partial 16S ribosomal RNA". It matches the Rfam family "Bacterial small subunit ribosomal RNA", at positions 28 to 507 of the family's 1533-position model. The record is from RNAcentral.